AAUUGAGACAGGUGGUGCAUGGUUGUCGUCAGCUCGUGUCGUGAGAUGUUGGGUUAAGUCCCGCAACGAGCGCAACCCUUGUGUUUAGUUGCAAACAGGUCAAGCUGUGCACUCUAGACAGACUGCCGUGGACAACACGGAGGAAGGUGGGGAUGACGUCAAAUCAUCAUGCCCCUUAUGAUCUGGGCUACACACGUGCUACAAUGGCCGGUACAACGGGCAGCGAAGGAGCGAUCCGGAGCGAAUCCUAAAAAGCCGGUCCCAGUUCGGAUUGCAGGCUGAAACUCGCCUACAUGAAGUUGGAGUUGCUAGUAAUCGCGAAUCAGAAUGUCGCGGUGAAUGCGUUCCGGGUCUU
This 355-nucleotide ribosomal RNA is filed under the name uncultured Fusibacter sp. RNAcentral describes it as "bacterial SSU rRNA". It matches the Rfam family "Bacterial small subunit ribosomal RNA", at positions 1027 to 1381 of the family's 1533-position model. The record is from RNAcentral. Lineage: Bacteria; Bacillati; Bacillota; Clostridia; Eubacteriales; Fusibacteraceae.